CCACACUCUAGUUCCAGCUCGACCUCCACCAGUGCCGCCGCCGUUCCCGUCGCGCUCUGAGGUGUGAGCAGCAGCAGCAGGCCGGGUACGGGAUGGGGAAGAGGAAGAAGGGGGAGGAGGAGCAGCAGGCGGCGGAGAGGAUCCCCAGCGACCUACUCCCGGAAGUCCUGGCGCGGGUGCCGUACCGGUCCCUCUGCCGCUUCAAGUGCGUGUCCACGCCUGGCUGGCGCUCUGUUCCGACCCCGCCGUCCGCAGGAGGUCGCCGCAGGCCAUCUCCGGCUUCUUCUGCUACCCGCGUAUCGACGGUGUCAGCGGCCGGCGCGACGAGGGCCUCAGCUUCCUCAACCUGUCCGGGAGGGGCCGGCCGCUGGUCGACACACCCCUCUCUCCCUUUCUUGGGGGACUACGAGGAGGUCAGGCUCCUAAACUGCUGCGGCGGCAUUCUCCUCUGCCAAGGCUGGAAUAGAACCAUGGAAGUUCCGGAAUAGUUCGUGUGCAACCCUGCGACCGAGAAGAUCUGCCUAUGCUUGAUGUGCCAGAGCCUCAAGUUCCCUACAUCUACAUGGUGGCCCAACAUUUAACCUGGAGCAGCAAAUUCUGUUUGUGUUUCAACCCCGCCGUUCCCUCCCGCUUUGUGGUUUUCGCGUUCGUUGAGAGAGGCCACACCAUAGUGGCAGUAAGGGUCUACUCAUCCGAUACCGGAGAAUGGACGUCCAAGGAGAGCGGUCGCCAUAUUGUGGAAUAUGGUGGUGAACCAGUAUACGACUUUUUCGACGAUACUCUGUAUCUCAGAGCCUAUGAUCAUGGAGAUGACAGGUUCUAUCCGAAGGGGAAACUAAUACCCUCGAUAUUUACAGUGAACACGGACGGGGAUACUUGGAGGAGAAUUCCAAUGCCACCCCAAGUUCAUUUUGUUAGAGUUAUAAUAUAAGUCAUGUAUACCCCUUUGUAUUUAUCCCGUAGUAUAAGGGGUUUCCUGCAUAUGUACCACACCUGUACAUGUAUAUAUAUCGGCCUAUGGCCUCAUGGGAAUACAAGUUGCUUAUUCCUAA
Molecule: long non-coding RNA, 1052 nt
Organism: Triticum aestivum (bread wheat)
Lineage: Eukaryota; Viridiplantae; Streptophyta; Magnoliopsida; Poales; Poaceae
Exons: 2
Source: RefSeq, a predicted model, not a curated record